This 169-nucleotide ribosomal RNA is filed under the name Nakaseomyces glabratus. RNAcentral describes it as "[Candida] glabrata 5.8S ribosomal RNA". It matches the Rfam family "5.8S ribosomal RNA". From Rfam's summary of the family: 5.8S ribosomal RNA (5.8S rRNA) is a component of the large subunit of the eukaryotic ribosome. Lineage: Eukaryota; Fungi; Ascomycota; Saccharomycetes; Saccharomycetales; Saccharomycetaceae. The record is from RNAcentral.
AAACAACUUCAAAACUUUCAACAAUGGAUCUCUUGGUUCUCGCAUCGAUGAAGAACGCAGCGAAAUGCGAUACGUAAUGUGAAUUGCAGAAUUCCGUGAAUCAUCGAAUCUUUGAACGCACAUUGCGCCCUCUGGUAUUCCGGGGGGCAUGCCUGUUUGAGCGUCAUUU